GGGAGCUUGCUCCCGGAUGUUAGCGGCGGACGGGUGAGUAACACGUGGGUAACCUGCCUGUAAGACUGGGAUAACUCCGGGAAACCGGAGCUAAUACCGGAUAGUUCCUUGAACCGCAUGGUUCAAGGAUGAAAGACGGUUUCGGCUGUCACUUACAGAUGGACCCGCGGCGCAUUAGCUAGUUGGUGGGGUAAUGGCUCACCAAGGCGACGAUGCGUAGCCGACCUGAGAGGGUGAUCGGCCACACUGGGACUGAGACACGGCCCAGACUCCUACGGGAGGCAGCAGUAGGGAAUCUUCCGCAAUGGACGAAAGUCUGACGGAGCAACGCCGCGUGAGUGAUGAAGGUUUUCGGAUCGUAAAGCUCUGUUGUUAGGGAAGAACAAGUGCGAGAGUAACUGCUCGCACCUUGACGGUACCUAACCAGAAAGCCACGGCUAACUACGUGCCAGCAGCCGCGGUAAUACGUAGGUGGCAAGCGUUGUCCGGAAUUAUUGGGCGUAAAGGGCUCGCAGGCGGUUUCUUAAGUCUGAUGUGAAAGCCCCCGGCUCAACCGGGGAGGGUCAUUGGAAACUGGGAAACUUGAGUGCAGAAGAGGAGAGUGGAAUUCCACGUGUAGCGGUGAAAUGCGUAGAGAUGUGGAGGAACACCAGGUGACGAAAGGCGACUCUCUGGUCUGUAACUGACGCUGAGGAGCGAAAGCGUGGGGAGCGAACAGGAUUAGAUACCCUGGUAGUCCACGCCGUAAACGAUGAGUGCUAAGUGUUAGGGGGUUUCCGCCCCUUAGUGCUGCAGCUAACGCAGUAAUCACUCUGCAUGAGCAGUA
Molecule: ribosomal RNA, 826 nt
Filed under: Bacillus pumilus
Lineage: Bacteria; Bacillati; Bacillota; Bacilli; Caryophanales; Bacillaceae
Description: bacterial SSU rRNA
Rfam family: Bacterial small subunit ribosomal RNA
Source: RNAcentral